GAUGAACGCUGGCGGCGUGCCUAAUACAUGCAAGUCGAGCGAACGGACGAGAAGCUUGCUUCUCUGAUGUUAGCGGCGGACGGGUGAGUAACACGUGGAUAACCUACCUAUAAGACUGGGAUAACUUCGGGAAACCGGAGCUAAUACCGGAUAAUAUUUUGAACCGCAUGGUUCAAAAGUGAAAGACGGUCUUGCUGUCACUUAUAGAUGGAUCCGCGCUGCAUUAGCUAGUUGGUAAGGUAACGGCUUACCAAGGCAACGAUGCAUAGCCGACCUGAGAGGGUGAUCGGCCACACUGGAACUGAGACACGGUCCAGACUCCUACGGGAGGCAGCAGUAGGGAAUCUUCCGCAAUGGGCGAAAGCCUGACGGAGCAACGCCGCGUGAGUGAUGAAGGCCUUCGGAUCGUAAAACUCUGUUAUUAGGGAAGAACAUAUGUGUAAGUAAAUGUGCACAUCUUGACGGUACCUAAUCAGAAAGCCACGGCUAACUACGUG
RNAcentral lists this ribosomal RNA (497 nucleotides) under uncultured bacterium. RNAcentral's name for it is "partial 16S ribosomal RNA". It matches the Rfam family "Bacterial small subunit ribosomal RNA", at positions 28 to 507 of the family's 1533-position model. The record is from RNAcentral.